GAUGAACGCUGGCGGCGUGCCUAAGACAUGCAAGUCGAAUGUGCCCGCAAGGGUAACAUGGCGAACGGGUGAGUAACACGUGGGUGAUCUGCCCUGCACUUCGGGAUAAGCCUGGGAAACUGGGUCUAAUACCGGAUAGGACCACUGCCUGCAUGGGUGGUGGUGGAAAGCUUUUGCGGUGUGGGAUGGGCCCGCGGCCUAUCAGCUUGUGGGUGGGGUGAUGGCCUACCAAGGCGACGACGGGUAGCCGGCCUGAGAGGGUGACCGGCCACACUAGGACUGAGUUACGGGCCCGACUCGUACGGGAGGCAGCAGUGGGGAAUAUUGCACAAUGGGCGCAAGCCUGAUGCAGCGACGCCGCGUGAGGGAUGACGGCUUUCGGGUUGUAAACCUCUUGCAGCACCGACGAAGCGCAAGUGACGGUAGGUGCAGAAGAAGGACCGGCCAACUACGUGCCAGCCGCCGCCGUAA
RNAcentral lists this ribosomal RNA (471 nucleotides) under uncultured bacterium. Its description in RNAcentral is "partial 16S ribosomal RNA". It matches the Rfam family "Bacterial small subunit ribosomal RNA", at positions 28 to 523 of the family's 1533-position model. The record is from RNAcentral.